CAAGGCACUGAAAAUGCCUAGAUGAGUGUAUUAACUCCAUAAACA
This 45-nucleotide transfer RNA is filed under the name Muntiacus sp. VIE2. RNAcentral describes it as "partial tRNA-Phe". Lineage: Eukaryota; Metazoa; Chordata; Mammalia; Artiodactyla; Cervidae. The record is from RNAcentral.